Molecule: long non-coding RNA, 1054 nt
Filed under: Felis catus (domestic cat)
Lineage: Eukaryota; Metazoa; Chordata; Mammalia; Carnivora; Felidae
Description: lncRNA (ENSFCAG00000050260.1)
Source: RNAcentral
CAUGCGUGAGGAUGACGCCGCAUCCUUGUUAAUUUCAGGCCAGGUCAAAAGCAGUCGUGCCCCGGCAGGGGACUCCAAUGCUGGUGCAGCUGUCCCGGCCCUCUUCCCGGAACAUUCCAUCUCCCUUGUAAUAUUGAGCUCCCACCUCUGAGGAAGGCCCCCAUUCUUUGGGAUUGUCUGUUUCAACCCCAUUGGCAAAGCAAUCCCCCAAAUCCACCCCAUCCUGAACCUCGAGGACUCUUUAGAGGUCUACUCACUCCAUUGUGAUUUUGACCCCGUUCUUUCUUCCUUGAGUCCAGCCACUGUGUCAGCCGUCCUCUGGGAGAAAGGCUGAGGGCGGAGGAGAAAGUCCGAGUAGGAGUUCUGGGGUUCUCCCGACUUCCGGCCCGUCCGCAGAUGUCACUGAAAGGAUCUUGGAGGUGACGUGUGAGCUUAAGGAACCCAAACUAGCCUGUGUUCUUAGCAAAUUCUCAGCCUCUCUGGAACCCAGGGAUCACCCCAUCCUGGAUCCUGCACUGCCCAGGCUGCCCCUGUGCCGGCUCCCAGCUGCGUGGGUCUCUGUCCAUCCUCUACUGCCCCAGACUGAAUAUUCUCCCAAAUAACAAAGGUGCCGGGAGCCGCUGUCAUCACCUUCCCUCUGGACUGAGGCUCGUCUGAGCAAAACUGGGACACCGUCACGUUGGUCUAGAGCCCUGCCCCUCCCCUGGUCUCGCCUUCUACACACACGGUCCCCUGCACCCAGUGCCCUCCCUUGGCUAGCAAGCCUCCGGUGACCUCGGGCUCUGCUUCUGCGUGCGUGCUGGCAGCUCGGUGUUAGAAUGAGGCCACACGGCGGAAUUUCAGGUGUCAUUGAGCAGGUGCGAAACGUAUUAUUUGGGACAGGAGAGCUUCUUGAUGCCCUUGACAUCGCAAAAUGAAGUCGCAAGAUCACUCAGUCUGUAUGUACAGACGAUCUUUUUUUUUUGUUUGCGAAUGAGAUACAGCGGUAACGUCUCUCCAAUCUGAAGGCAAAGAUCCAAUCCCCACCUAAUUCUCAAGAGGUCUGCACAGGGCU